RNAcentral lists this long non-coding RNA (252 nucleotides) under Arachis ipaensis. RNAcentral describes it as "long non-coding RNA (AIPA_LNC002619)". Lineage: Eukaryota; Viridiplantae; Streptophyta; Magnoliopsida; Fabales; Fabaceae. The record is from RNAcentral.
CUUUAUGUACCAGCAAAGCCAGCUCGACCGUAUACAGUAUAAGGGAUUCGCCUUUGCCUCAUACAGAAGAACUACGGAUUGAACAGGACAGGACAACCGGGAAGGGAAGCCUGACAUAGAUAUUGAUUUGAACAAAGGAACUCAAACCGGUACCAGAAACCAAACAAGAGAUGGAAUUCCAGAUUGAACAGAUGACCGACCCACAAUAAGACGAAAAUGGAAUUCAAAAUUCCAUUCUCUAAGACGAACUAA